GAUGAACGCUGGCGGCAUGCCUAACACAUGCAAGUCGAGCGAACGGACGGGGAGUUUUCUUGUCUGCUGUUACCGGCGGGCGGGUGAUUCACACGUGUAUGACCUACCUUUAGGACUGGGGUACUUACACGGGACCGGAUCUAAUACCCGAUAAUAUUUUGAACCUCAUGGUUCAAAAGUGAAAAACGGUCUUGCUGAGACUAAUAGAUGGAUCCGGGUUGGAUUAGCUAGUUGGUAAGGUAACGGCUUACCAAGGCUACGAUGCUUAGCCGACCUGAGAGGGUGAUCGGCCACACUGGAACUGAGACACGGUCCAGACUCCUACGGGAGGCAGCAGUAGGGAAUCUUACGCAAUGGGCGAAAGCCUGAUGGAGCAAUGCCGCGUGAGUGAUGAAGGUCUUCGGAUGGUAAAGCUCUGUAAGUAGGGAGGAAGAAAAGUGCAUUUAACCGUGAAGAUCUUGACGGUACCAAGAGAAUAAGCACCGGCUAACUCCGUG
This 497-nucleotide ribosomal RNA is filed under the name uncultured bacterium. Its description in RNAcentral is "partial 16S ribosomal RNA". It matches the Rfam family "Bacterial small subunit ribosomal RNA", at positions 28 to 507 of the family's 1533-position model. The record is from RNAcentral.